CAGAGGUCUCAAGCGUUGUUCGGAUUCAUUGGGCGUAAAGGGUGCGUAGGCGGCGCGGUAAGUCGGGUGUGAAAUCUCGGAGCUUAACUCCGAAACUGCAUUCGAUACUGCCGUGCUUGAGGACUGGAGAGGAGACUGGAAUUUACGGUGUAGCGGUGAAAUGCGUAGAUAUCGUAAGGAAGACCAGUGGCGAAGGCGGGCCUCUGGACAGUUCCUGACGCUGAGGCACGAAGGCCAGGGAAGCAAACGGGAUUAGAUACCCCGGUAGUCCUGGCAGUAAACGGUGCACGUUUGGUGUGGGAGGAUUCGACCCCUUCUGCGCCGGAGCUAACGCGUUAAACGUGCCGCCUGGGGAGUACGGUCGCAAGAUUA
RNAcentral lists this ribosomal RNA (372 nucleotides) under uncultured organism. RNAcentral's name for it is "bacterial SSU rRNA". It matches the Rfam family "Bacterial small subunit ribosomal RNA", at positions 526 to 896 of the family's 1533-position model. The record is from RNAcentral.